AAGUAAUCAAUUGAAGAAGGUUU
RNAcentral lists this small nuclear RNA (23 nucleotides) under Arabidopsis thaliana (thale cress). RNAcentral describes it as "snRNA_17572". The record is from RNAcentral. Lineage: Eukaryota; Viridiplantae; Streptophyta; Magnoliopsida; Brassicales; Brassicaceae.